AUGAGCUCAGCUGCAAGCCAUGUCCGAGGCUCUCUCCUCCUCCUAUUCUGCGUGUUCCUGUUUCACCUUCAUCUCGGAACACCAGCCUACGGCGCAGACAUGUUCGACAGCGGUGGCGACGUCGCCGAUGGCGAGACACUUGUCUCUGCCGGUGGGGCGUUCACCAUGGGAUUCUUCUCCCUUGGGGUGCCAGCGCGGAGGUACCUCGGGAUAUGGUUCUCCGUGUCGGAGGACGCCGUGUGCUGGGUGGCCAACCGCGACAGCCCACUCACUGGCACCUCCGGCGUGCUGGUGCUCGGCAACGCCGGGAGGCUCCUCCUCACGGACGGCGGUCAGGACCGGCGCCGCUUCCGCGGUGGUGCAGCUGCUGGAGUCCGGCAACCUGGUCGUGCGCGAUCAGGCCAGCGGUGCCCACCUGUGGCAGUCGUUCGACCACCCGUCGAACACCUUGCUGCCCGGCAUGAAGACCGGCAAGAACCUGUGGACGGGGGCCGAGUGGUACAUCACGUCGUGGCGCUCGGCCACCGACCCGUCUCCCGGCCCCUACCGGCGCGGCACGGAGACGAAGGCGCUGCCGGAGAACGCGCUUUGGCACAACGGCGUCAAGAAGUACCGCACCGGGCCGUGGAACGGCGUCCCGGAGAUGGCGUCGUACGCCGACAUGUUCUCGUACCAGGUGACGGUAAGCCCCGGCGAGGUCACCUACGCCUACCACGCCAAGGCCGGGCCGCCGUUCUCGCGCGUGGUGGUGACCGACGCCGGGCGUGGAAGACCUUUUACAGCGCGCCGAGGGACGUGUGCGACGCGUACGGCCGGUGCGGCGCGUUCGGCCUGUGCGACGUCAACACGACGUCCACGUCGUUCUGCAGGUGCGUCAAGGGUUUCGACGGGUUUGCAUGA
Molecule: ribosomal RNA, 900 nt
Filed under: Triticum aestivum (bread wheat)
Lineage: Eukaryota; Viridiplantae; Streptophyta; Magnoliopsida; Poales; Poaceae
Description: partial small subunit ribosomal RNA
Source: RNAcentral